GACGAACGCUGGCGGCGCGCUUAACACAUGCAAGUCGAACGGAAAGGCCCUGCUUCUGUGGGGUGCUCGAAUGGCGAACGGGUGAGUAACACGUGAGUAACCUGCCCUUGACUUUGGGAUAACUUCAGGAAACUGGGGCUAAUACCGGCUAGGAGCUCCUGCUGCCUGGUGGGGGUUGGAAAGUUUCGGCGGGUGGGGAUGGACUCGCGGCUUAUCAGCUUGUUGGUGGGGUAGUGGCUUACCACGGCUUUGACGGGUAGCCGGCCUGUGAGGGUGAACGGCCACAUUAGGACUGAGAUACGGCCCAGACGCCUACGGGAGGCAGCAGUGGGGAAUAUUGCACAAUGGGCGGAAGCCUGAUGCAGCAACGCCGCGUGCGGGAUGACGGCCUUCGGGUUGUAAACCGCUUUCGCCUGUGACGAAGCGUGAGUGACGGUAAUGGGUAAAGAAGCACCGGCUAACUACGUG
Molecule: ribosomal RNA, 468 nt
Filed under: uncultured bacterium
Lineage: Bacteria
Description: partial 16S ribosomal RNA
Rfam family: Bacterial small subunit ribosomal RNA
Source: RNAcentral